Molecule: ribosomal RNA, 497 nt
Filed under: uncultured bacterium
Lineage: Bacteria
Description: partial 16S ribosomal RNA
Rfam family: Bacterial small subunit ribosomal RNA
Source: RNAcentral
GACGAACGCUGGCGGCGUGCCUAAUACAUGCAAGUUGAGCGAUGAAGAUUGGUGCUUGCCCCAAUUUGAAGAGCAGCGAACGGGUGAGUAACGCGUGGGUAAUCUGCCUUUUAGCGGGGGACAACAUUUGGAAACGAAUGCUAAUACCGCAUAACAACUUUAAACAUAAGUUUUAAGUUUGAAAGAUGCAAUUGCAUCACUCAAAGAUGAUCCCGCGUUGUAUUAGCUAGUUGGUGAGGUAAAGGCUCACCAAGGCGAUGAUACAUAGCCGACCUGAGAGGGAGAAACGCCACAAUGGGACUGAGAAACGGCCCAAAAUCCUAAGGGAGGCAGCAGGAGGGAAUCUUCGGAAAUGGAGGAAAGUCUGAACGAGCAACGCCGGGGGAGUGAAGAAGGGUUUCGGAUCGGAAAACUCUGUUGGUAGAGAAGAACGAUGGUGAGAGUGGAAAGCUCAUCAAGUGACGGUAACUACACAGAAAGGGACGGCUAACUACGUG